Molecule: long non-coding RNA, 1891 nt
Organism: Equus caballus (horse)
Lineage: Eukaryota; Metazoa; Chordata; Mammalia; Perissodactyla; Equidae
Source: Ensembl
GGCCAACCCCGGCCUCGCGUGCUGUCCCGUCUCUGACGCAUGGGGGAGUGGAGACAGCAGUGGGUGUUUGCUGACAAGCAGCUUCGUGGGAACGCUUGCCUCGGCACUUCUCAGUGCUGAAUCAGGGAGAAAAGUUGGGCAGAGUGCCUGUGGGGUUCAACUGAGAGAGGGAGAAAAAAACAGCCUGAGGUGGGAGAGAAACACCAGGCAAAGCAGUAACAGCAGUAGCAAAACCAUCAUCACCUGGAGGCCUGCUGGGUGCCUUCCAGUACCCUCCCGUUCGUUCUCACCACAGCCCUGUGAGGGAUGUACCACAGUUUGUAUAUCCACUCAACUGCUGAAGGACAUCGGAGCUGUUUCCAGCUUGGAAUGAUUAUGAAUAGAGCUGCUACAAAGAUGUGUACGGGUUUCGCGUGAACAUAAGUUUUCACUUCAUUUCUCAGGAGCAGGAUUGUUGGGCCAUGUGAUUCAGGUUCCCUGGAGCGAUCAUCUGACGGACCUGCCGUGGGUCAUGUGACCAUCUUUAGAGAAAGGAAUGGUGGAACACUUUGACUGACAGUCCCAUCAAGACUAUGUCCAAGUAGAGGCAUAAUCUUUCCUUGUUGUAAGGACUAUUGAGGUGCUCUUAACAGAAGGAAAGGGAAGAAUGGAUCCUGGAGAGGCAUAAACCACAGAGGCCCACCAUGGCAGUGACUUCAAAAAUUUUUGAUCACAAUCCACAUUAAGAAAUAUAUUUCACCAACAUGCAAGAAUAUUCACACAUGACUGAAAUGCAGUUUUUAUAUAACAGUAUGGAGCCUUCCAAUGCGUAGUAUACUCUGAUACAUCAUAUUCGUUUCCUUUCAUUUUUCAAAAAUGGCUUUUGUAACUCCUUAUGGAUUGCAAUCUGUGGAUUGGAAAGCGCUGUACUUUUAACAUGAUUUCCUUCCCCUCCCUAUCCGUGAAGGCUCCAGAAGGAAAGACUGAAAAACAGUGAAGACAUAAAGUGGUGAGCUCCAUAAUGGAUCCCCAGAGAACGUUGACCGAUCCAUCUCACAAGACAGAUGUGUAGACUGAGACGUUAAACUCCUGUGAGUUAAAAAAGGAUGAUGAAAAACAAAUGUUUGCCCUCAGAAGCAGACCCUGAGACAAGGAUUGGGAUCCAAGUAGCCUAUUUGUGAGGUGAUCCCAGGAAAGACAGGGAGGGAGUGGGGAAGUGAGAGAGGGAAGGGAAGAAAGCCAGCCAAAGGUUCAUGACAAGAGUGUUGUCAUCGUGGGCAUCCGUGGCUCAGUCACAUAAGAGACCCUCUAGGAACAGUGCAGAACAUGCCUCAGGUCUGUCUCAUCAAAGGGCAGGGAAGCUCGGGUGUUCAUCCACCAAGUGCCAUCCCUCCAUGUGAAGCUGGACCAAAACCAUCAAUUUCCCAACACUUCCAGCAUGCCACCAAGUGAGGGCCAAGCUCCCACCACCGGAGAACACCCUCAGGCAGAAGAUGCAGGAAGCUUUGGGGUACGCAAGAAUUGUCUGCGGAUGACCUCCAGAUUGGUCAAGAGUGUACAGUUUGAAGAUCUCCUUCAAGACGUAACUGGGAGGGAGAAGGAGUAGCCCAGGAAGCCACUUGCAGUCAGAAAUACCUGCCUCCCCUCCCAGGGCUCACCUCACGGUCAGGCACAGUCUCGUUGCCCAUAGCACCUUGGAAUGGCCCAAUCCCCAGAUUCGUAGAUUCACCAAGUUCAUCCCAGCCUGGGUGCCUGGCUUCCUGCCUCGGCAUUGCUGAAGGAAGACAGGAAAUCCACCCAACCAGCUCACCUGUCCUACCUGGCCCCUCUGAUUCUCAGCCAAUGUCCCAGAGAAUGUCUGGUUUUCAGCCAGUGAUCUCUGCCACAACGUCUCAGGACAUCGAAUCUACCC